Molecule: ribosomal RNA, 246 nt
Filed under: uncultured bacterium
Lineage: Bacteria
Description: partial 16S ribosomal RNA
Rfam family: Bacterial small subunit ribosomal RNA
Source: RNAcentral
AGAUGCGACCGGCGCACGGGUGAGUAACACGUAUCCAACCUGCCGAUAACUCGGGGAUAGCCUUUCGAAAGAAAGAUUAAUACCCGAUGGCAUAAUUAGACCGCAUGGUCUUAUUAUUAAAGAAUUUCGGUUAUCGAUGGGGAUGCGUUCCAUUAGGCAGUUGGUGAGGUAACGGCUCACCAAACCUUCGAUGGAUAGGGGUUCUGAGAGGAAGGUCCCCCACAUUGGAACUGAGACACGGUCCAA